GUAGCGUUACAAUGACAACAGUAAAUAUAUCAAGGUUUGUGAUUUUGAAAAUCUAAUAUAUCAAUUGUCCGUAAGUAGUAUUAACUUACUUAUUUUGUUUGCACUCCUAUCCCACUUUAAAAUUCCUUAUUUACUUUUUGGGACGUCAAAAAAAAUCUUUGUAACCUACUAUGCUAAGUGAUAUUCAAAAGUUACCAUUCAAUUUCCCUUUCUUACAAAGCACAUACAUGCAGUGACUUUUACUGAAGUUAAAUGCAGG
This 259-nucleotide long non-coding RNA is filed under the name Panax ginseng (ginseng). RNAcentral's name for it is "long non-coding RNA (PGIN_LNC015955)". Lineage: Eukaryota; Viridiplantae; Streptophyta; Magnoliopsida; Apiales; Araliaceae. The record is from RNAcentral.